UGAAAUUUCGCGGGACGCUUAAACUACGAUCGCGAUCUUGUUCGAAUGAAACCGUUCCCGCAGUCGAAGAGUUAAUUAUGAGCUCAACUAGUACAUUUUUUAACAAAUAUGAAAGUGAACAAUAUUUUUUUUUAAUUGAAAUUGUAUACGUGUUAUGUACAAUAUGUGUUAACAAUGUACACUAUCUUUUUAUUAUUAUGGGAAGUGAAAGUAUACAUGAAAUGUUUGUUAUGGAAUUAAGUAAAGAUAGAUUUGUAAAAUGACACAUUGUACGUCGCCAUGUUGUUUGACGUUCGUGACUACGUCAGACUCCUCGAUGGAGAGUAAUAAUCGAUCCGACGGAAAAUGAUUUGUUUUCAUUUACGUAACCACGCUCGUUGAUUAUUUCUAUCUUGCUUCCGUAAACCAUGCAAUGAGAUUUUUAUAAUUGACGCGAGUAACACUCUGUUUUCUGCAUUAUCGAUACUAGUUGUUUAGUAAUAUGUUCAGUAAAGUGUUCAGAGAUUUGUUCAGUCUGAUUCGAUUGCUGUUUAAAUAAAACGCUUCGCAUGUACUACAUCAGCAGGACUAAUCAAUUUUACACGUUGUUGAUUGAAAUAUCAAAGACACCAAGGGAAGAAGAAGAUGAACAGUGGGAAAACCUGUACAGGUCGAAUUGAAGCGAAGAGGGAUAACAUUUGAGAGCAUGGAAUUGGUCAAAGCAGAAACGUUGGAGGCUUUCAACAAGCUAACGCAAGAAGACAUCCAGCAUUGCUUUACACAUUGGAAAAAUCGGAUGGAGCGGUGCGAGGAUUGUCUAGAGGAAUAUAUAUUUAAAGCGAUCAAAUUUCAAUUGUAACUGGCGACUAAUAAAAAGUUUGAUGACAUUAGUUCGGUUAUUUGAUAACCAUUCCUCGUAUUAUCCAAAGAACAUGGCUUACACCCGGAAGCUUUAGAAUACUUUCGUGGCUUACUGUACGUUUCUGAUCAAUGUGUGUUAAUCGUCUGGGCAUGUACAUGUAUCCGCGAUCACGUUUGUCGUUCGCGGAAAUUGUGAACGCAAUAUUGAGAAUAACGAAGGCUUGAUUGUCCCUUUGUUAUCAGAGCGCGAACAAUCCAUUUCGAGAUUAAAUGCUCUUUACGGCGAGGAACCUGUCGCGAGUAAUUACGGUGUUCAAUGUCGAAGUCCCAGAACAAUGUUAUAUAGGAUGUUUCAAACUACACGGUCUGUCUAAAAAGAAACCGAAUUUU
Long non-coding RNA from Hylaeus anthracinus, 1230 nucleotides. RefSeq lists it as uncharacterized. The record is from RefSeq and is a predicted model, not a curated record. Lineage: Eukaryota; Metazoa; Arthropoda; Insecta; Hymenoptera; Colletidae. The transcript has 3 exons.